This 895-nucleotide ribosomal RNA is filed under the name leotiomyceta sp. RNAcentral describes it as "partial 28S ribosomal RNA". It matches the Rfam family "Eukaryotic large subunit ribosomal RNA", at positions 39 to 951 of the family's 3401-position model. Lineage: Eukaryota; Fungi; Ascomycota. The record is from RNAcentral.
CUCAACAAUAAGCGGAGGAAAAGAAACCAACCGGGAUUGCCUCAGUAACGGCGAGUGAAGCGGCAAGAGCUCAAAUUUGAAAUCUGGCCCCUCCGGGGUCCGAGUUGUAAUUUGCAGAGGAUGCUUCGGGUGCGGCCCCUGUCUAAGUGCCCUGGAACGGGCCGUCAGAGAGGGUGAGAAUCCCGUCUUGGGCAGGGUGCCCGUGCCCGUGUGAAGCUCCUUCGACGAGUCGAGUUGUUUGGGAAUGCAGCUCAAAAUGGGUGGUAAAUUUCAUCUAAAGCUAAAUACCGGCCGGAGACCGAUAGCGCACAAGUAGAGUGAUCGAAAGAUGAAAAGCACUUUGAAAAGAGAGUUAAACAGCACGUGAAAUUGUUGAAAGGGAAGCGCUUGCAACCAGACUCGGCCUCGGGGUUCAGCCAGCAUUCGUGCUGGUGUACUUCCCCGGGGCCGGGCCAGCGUCGGUUUGGGCGGCCGGUCAAAGGCCCCAGGAAUGUAUCGUCCUCCGGGACGUCUUAUAGCCUGGGGUGCAAUGCGGCCAGCCUGGACCGAGGAACGCGCUUCGGCACGGACGCUGGCGUAAUGGUCGCAAACGACCCGUCUUGAAACACGGACCAAGGAGUCUAACAUCUACGCGAGUGUUCGGGUGUCAAACCCGUACGCGCAGUGAAAGCGAACGGAGGUGGGAGCCCCCCCGGGGCGCACCAUCGACCGAUCCUGAUGUCUUCGGAUGGAUUUGAGUACGAGCGUAGCUGUGGGGACCCGAAAGAUGGUGAACUAUGCCUGAAUAGGGUGAAGCCAGAGGAAACUCUGGUGGAGGCUCGCAGCGGUUCUGACGUGCAAAUCGAUCGUCAAAUUUGGGUAUAGGGGCGAAAGACUAAUCGAACCAUCUAUUGCC